RNAcentral lists this long non-coding RNA (413 nucleotides) under Physcomitrium patens. Its description in RNAcentral is "long non-coding RNA (PPAT_LNC009388)". The record is from RNAcentral. Lineage: Eukaryota; Viridiplantae; Streptophyta; Bryopsida; Funariales; Funariaceae.
ACAUCUCUUGGAGUUCUAGCUCACCUUUCUGAUGUUGUUCUUGUACUCAUCUGUUUAAUCUAGUUCUGCCACUUCUUCUUGAACUUCUUGUUAGAUUUCAAGUCUGUAUUUUGUGUCAGUGACAAUAUGUUGUAUUCUAUAAGAUGUCUAUUAUUGAACUUUAAAAGUAUAAAAUCAAAGUUACAACCACAAAACUAUGAUUAACGUGAAAGAAAUACAUUCUUACUUUUUUACUAUAGUUAUUUGUGUUAGGGACAUAGUCCUUAGACCUUUCUAGAGACAAGUUUCUAGAACCUUCUAAAAAGAAGUCUCUAGAAACUUCCAGAAGAUUCCUUGAAUAUUCUCUUAGAAUAUUCUUCAAAGAUUCCCUAAAGAUUCUUUGAAGAUUCCCUAAAGAUUUCUUUAGAAGGCCC